Molecule: small RNA, 29 nt
Filed under: Bombyx mori (domestic silkworm)
Lineage: Eukaryota; Metazoa; Arthropoda; Insecta; Lepidoptera; Bombycidae
Description: ovarian small RNA-11954
Source: RNAcentral
AGAUCGCCUGCCAGAAUGACUGCGUCCCU